GACGAACGCUGGCGGCGCGCCUAACACAUGCAAGUCGAACGGAGUUUCCCCUUCGGGGGGGAGCUUAGUGGCGGACGGGGUGAGUAACACGUGAGGAACCUGCCUUUGAGAGCGGGAUACCGUCUGGAAACGGACGUUAAUACCGCAUAAUGCAGCGAGGCCACAUGGCCAUGCUGCCAAAGUUUAUCGCUCAAAGAUGGCCUCGCGCCUGAUUAGAUAGUUGGCGGGGUAACGGCUCACCAUGGCUAUGAUGUCUAGGGGUUCUGAGAGGAAGACCCCCCAUACUGGGACUGAGACACGGCCCAGACUCUUACGGGAGGCAGCAGUGAGGAAUAUUGGACAAUGGACGAAAGUCUGACGGAGCAACGCCGCGUGAGUGAUGAAGGUUUUCGGACUGUAAAACUCUGUUGUCAGGGACGAAGGUGCGAUCUGCGAAUAGUUGAUCGUAUUGACGGUACCUGACGAGGAAGCCACGGCUAACUACGUGCCAGCACG
This 495-nucleotide ribosomal RNA is filed under the name uncultured bacterium. RNAcentral's name for it is "bacterial SSU rRNA". It matches the Rfam family "Bacterial small subunit ribosomal RNA", at positions 28 to 515 of the family's 1533-position model. The record is from RNAcentral.